Molecule: ribosomal RNA, 388 nt
Filed under: uncultured bacterium
Lineage: Bacteria
Description: bacterial SSU rRNA
Rfam family: Bacterial small subunit ribosomal RNA
Source: RNAcentral
AGUGAACGCUGGCGGCAGGCCUAACACAUGCAAGUCGAGCGGCAGCACGGGUAGCAAUACCUGGUGGCGAGCGGCGGACGGGUGAGGAAUACAUCGGAAUCUGCCUUGUUGUGGGGGAUAACGUAGGGAAACUUACGCUAAUACCGCAUAAGACCGAGAGGUGAAAGCGGGGGAUCGAAAGACCUCGCGCGACAAGAUGAGCCGAUGUCGGAUUAGCUAGUUGGCGGGGAAAGGCCCACCAAGGCGACGAUCCGUAGCUGGUCUGAGAGGAUGAUCAGCCACACUGGAACUGAGACACGGUCCAGACUCCUACGGGAGGCAGCAGUGGGGAAUAUUGGACAAUGGGCGCAAGCCUGAUCCAGCCAUGCCGCGUGGGUGAAGAAGGCCU